Molecule: long non-coding RNA, 932 nt
Filed under: Salvia miltiorrhiza (redroot sage)
Lineage: Eukaryota; Viridiplantae; Streptophyta; Magnoliopsida; Lamiales; Lamiaceae
Description: long non-coding RNA (SMIL_LNC013750)
Source: RNAcentral
UUCUAUAUUACAACAUCUACAAGCAACGCACCACCUGUCCAAACGCAUAAUUCAUGUCAUCACGAACCAUACAAGUAGAGGCAAUUAGACCAUGAUACUAAAAGUGUCAUUUACUAAGCUAAACAAUGUUAUUUUUGUAUUAUUCAAAGUGUCAUUUCAACACAAAUGCCUAAACCCAAAUCAGCUAUGAUUAAUAUCAUACACAAAUCAUAUAAUGUAGAAACGCAAGAAUAAUCAAUAUCAAUACCACUCGAGGAUGACGAAUCACUACUUGAGCUGCCAGAACUGCUCGAGCUACUGCUGCCAUUCCCUCGACCAUUAUUCUCCUGCUCAUGAUCCUGGCCCACGACCACACCACCACCUAGGUCUUCAUCUUUCUCAAUCUCAAUUUCCACAUGAUCUUAAGACCGGGCUGCAUAUCGGCGGCUCAAGGUAGAGCGGCGACGUGGCUGUUGUUCUCACGAGCAAAGGACGAAGGGCGGCGCAACGCCCAAAACGUCGCCAGACGGGGCGGGGCGGCGGUCGGAGCUGUAAGCGUCUUGUUUAGCAAUAGAUUCGGGGCUCGCCACCCAGACCGCUUCCCAGCGGCCUCUGCUCGACGCUAAACACCGUCCUCAGAAACACCGCCGCUCCUCUGGACUUUUCGCCGGAGAACGGAGCUUCUGCGGUUGAGAACGCGGUCCGCCGCCUACUGCUCUUCACGCCGCAGAUCUGAAACGCGCCGCCAACCGUUGAUCCACCGACUGAAACACACCUCUCCACCAUCUGCAGUAAUGCCAGAUCUAAAAUUCCACCUGCUGGAACUACGCCUCGAGCGACCUCGACGUGUGGCUGUGCGUCGCCAUGGACAAGCAAGUGCAAGUCCUCAACCUCAACCUCACAAAAUCCGACGAAAACAUCAAUCGAUAUCGCGACGAUGACAUCGACAACGA